Molecule: ribosomal RNA, 467 nt
Filed under: uncultured bacterium
Lineage: Bacteria
Description: bacterial SSU rRNA
Rfam family: Bacterial small subunit ribosomal RNA
Source: RNAcentral
CGCUGGCGGCGUGCCUAACACAUGCAAGUCGAGCGAGGAGAUCCUUCGGGAUGAUCCUAGCGGCGGACGGGUGAGUAACACGUGGGCAACCUGCCUCAUAGAGAGGAAUAGCCUUCCGAAAGGGAGAUUAAUACCUCAUAACAUUGCAGUUUCGCAUGGAACAGCAAUUAAAGGAGUAAUCCGCUAUGAGGUGGGCCCGCGGCGCAUUAGCUAGUUGGUGAGGUAACGGCUCACCAAGGCGACGAUGCGUAGCCGACCUGAGAGGGUGAUCGGCCACAUUGGGACUGAGACACGGCCCAGACUCCUACGGGAGGCAGCAGUGGGGAAUAUUGCACAAUGGGGGAAACCCUGAUGCAGCCAACGCCGCGUGAGUGAUGACGGCCUUCGGGUUGUAAAGCUCUGUCUUCAGGGACGAUAAUGACGGUACCUGAGGAGGAAGCCACGGCUAACUACGUGCCAGCAGCAGC